Molecule: long non-coding RNA, 1651 nt
Organism: Xiphophorus hellerii (green swordtail)
Lineage: Eukaryota; Metazoa; Chordata; Actinopteri; Cyprinodontiformes; Poeciliidae
Exons: 2
Source: RefSeq, a predicted model, not a curated record
CACAUUAACACACACAUCAGAGUGAGAUUUAAAAAAUAUGAUGCAAGAAAUGUUUAUUUCCCUGUAAACUUUAUUUUAAAAUGGAUGGUUGCUUUUGAAUCCUGUAUGUCUUAUUAUAUUUAUGUGGAUUCUGAUUGGAAAACUAAUAUUCAGAAAAGUUCUCCAACCAAUCUGACUGAACUUGAACUAUUUUGGAAGGAAAAAUCUGAUAACAAAUAGACUGUGAUUGCAGUAGUUUUACAAAGUAGUGACUCAAGAAGUUUUAUUGACAUAAAAUAAUCUUGGCUCAUCUAAUUCUUUAGCAGUAAUUAAACAUAUGUACACACAUCCAGAAGAGUCUCUGAGACACUGGAGGCCUCUUGAUCCUCUUCUAUAACACUCCCACUGGACAAGAUGCACACAGGCACUUAUGAGCCAACUUUAAUGUGACUUUAUGCCAAAGCUGUUGGAGGACAGCUGAGAAGUCCCUUUGCACUGAGCGGCACUCUGUGCAGUUAGCUGCACAAUAAGUCAGACCUGCAUCCCUUCAUAACCCUCAUUUAUCACAGACCUGUGAGCCUCUUCAGCCUGGGGUAGAGAAAACACAAGAAUUAAACUCCAACAGCUACGAAAGCUGCGCUCACUCUUGCUCAUCAUAAUCUGCAUAAACGAUCAGACCGUAUUUUAUUGGGAGUUGCUGAACUCUUGCUUUCUACUACUUUCAAUUUGGAAAGGUUUCCAGGCAAAGACAUGGAGCCCACAGUGGUGCCGAGAGAAGACAGAGGACAGAGGAACACUACUGAGGCAGCUGAUGCUCAGAGACUGCGCCAAAAAUUGGAGAGGUGCAGAGUUGACCCCGAUCAUUUACUUGGGAUUGUGGGUAUUGUAGGCACCGUUCUCAACCUGCUGGUGGUGGUGUUGGUGUAUAUCUACACCCCUGUUUAACGAGUACAAGGAAACGCUUACAUAAGUAGAUCUACUGAUGGCUUGCAGUACAUUUUCUUGUAUUAGUAUUUUGUUCGGCAGAUGUUUGUAAUUGUGACUGGUCAUUUUAAUCUACUGUGUCUUAUUCAAACAUCAGUUUAAAAUAUAUUUGGUGUGUAUUUAGUGAAUUGUGAAUGCGCAAGAUUCAGAAGUCGUAAACAUGAAAUUAUACUGUGGUGAUAUUUAAUAAUGUGACAGCAUUUGCAACAGCGCGUGUUGUUUGAACUACAGAGUUUUAUUUUAAUGUCUCUUUAUGUGAAUGUUUCUUGGUCAUUUACUGAAGUUUUGUAUUAUGAUGCUUUUUGUGGUAAUUAAUUUUGUUUGAUUUUUAGCUUAUGAUUUUCUUUUAAGCAACAAUAUUCAUCUACUCUAGAAGUCCCUUCUGAAAAACAACAAAAAUAAAUACAUGAUAUAUUCAACCCACAAACAAAAUAAAUCAAAAACCUGGACAGCAUCCAUAGAAAUCAGAGACUAACAUUUUAUUUAUAAUCCUUCAGAUUUUAAAUAUACAAUUUAUUCUUUAAAAAAAGUAGACUUUUUUUGCUUUAAAGGAAGAAAAAGAAUAACAUGUUCGGUUAAAUUUCUAUUAACAGAAAGCUACAUACAGCCACUGUCAGUUAAAUACAACAAAAGGCAACUUACAAACACUUUUUACUUUUAUAUGCAGGGACAGCUUGCAUCCACUUAA